This is a small nucleolar RNA of Brassica oleracea var. oleracea, 86 nucleotides long. NCBI's taxonomy places the organism in Eukaryota, Viridiplantae, Streptophyta, Magnoliopsida, Brassicales, Brassicaceae. The record is from Rfam.
CUUGGGCAUAUGAUGAAAUUAUAUUUCAUGGGUAAUUUGCGUCUGAAUCUUCUUGAUGUUUUCUUUAUGAUACACUGAUGCCCCGU